This 82-nucleotide transfer RNA is filed under the name Daphnia pulicaria. RNAcentral describes it as "tRNA-Ser". It matches the Rfam family "tRNA". From Rfam's summary of the family: Transfer RNA (tRNA) molecules are approximately 80 nucleotides in length. Their secondary structure includes four short double-helical elements and three loops (D, anti-codon, and T loops). The record is from RNAcentral. Lineage: Eukaryota; Metazoa; Arthropoda; Branchiopoda; Diplostraca; Daphniidae.
GCAGAUAUGGCCGAGUGGUUAAGGCGACUGACUCGAAAUUAGUUUUCAUCUUGGAGCGUAGGUUCGAAUCCUACUAUCUGCG